This 461-nucleotide ribosomal RNA is filed under the name uncultured bacterium. RNAcentral describes it as "SSU rRNA". It matches the Rfam family "Bacterial small subunit ribosomal RNA", at positions 26 to 518 of the family's 1533-position model. The record is from RNAcentral.
AGGAUAAACGCUGGCGGCGUGCCUAACACAUGCAAGUCGAACGCCCUACGCAAGUAGGGAGUGGCGGACGGGUGAGGAACACGUGGGUUAUCUGCCUUUCGGUGAGGAAUACCAGCGAGAAAUCGCUGACAAUACCGCAUACGGUUCUUUCGAGAGGAAGAACGAAAGUCGUAAGACGCCGGGAGAUGAGCCUGCGCCCGAUUAGUUUGUUGGUGGGGUAAAAGCCUACCAAGACUGCAAUCGGUAGCUGUUCUGAGAGGAAGAUCAGCCACACUGGGACUGAGACACGGCCCAGACUCCUACGGGAGGCAGCAGUUGGGAAUCUUGGACAAUGGGGGAAACCCUGAUCCAGCCAUGCCGCGUGAGUGAUGAAGGCCUUCGGGUUGUAAAACUCUUUCGACGGGGACGAUAAUGACGGUACCCGUAGAAGAAGCUCCGGCUAACUUCGUGCCAGCAGCCGC